Molecule: ribosomal RNA, 253 nt
Filed under: uncultured bacterium
Lineage: Bacteria
Description: partial 16S ribosomal RNA
Rfam family: Bacterial small subunit ribosomal RNA
Source: RNAcentral
UACGUAGGGGGCGAGCGUUGUCCGGAUUCAUUGGGCGUAAAGCGCGUGUAGGCGGUCCGGUAAGUCCGCUGUGAAAGUCGGGGGCUCAACCCUCGGAUGCCGGUGGAUACUGUCGGGCUUGAGUACGGAAGAGGCGAGUGGAAUUCCUGGUGUAGCGGUGAAAUGCGCAGAUAUCAGGAGGAACACCCGUGGCGAAGGCGGCCUUCUGGGGCAUUCCUGACACUGAGAAGCGAAAGCUAGGGGAGCAAACAGG